GACGAACGCUGGCGGCGUGCUUAACACAUGCAAGUCGAACGGAAGGCCCUGGUUUUGGGGGGUGCCCGGGGGGCGAACGGGGUAGUUAACCGUGAGGUACCUGCCCCUUGCCUUGGGGUAACUUCAAGAAACCGGGGCCAAUUCCGGGUAGGGGCCCCUGCCGCAUGGUGGGGGUUUGAAAGUUUCGGGGGUUGGGGAAGGACGCGCGGCUUAGCAGCUUUGUUGUGGGGUUGGUGCCUACCAAGGCCUUGACGGGUUGGCGGGCAGGGAGGGUGACCGGCCACAUUGGGACUGAGAUACGGGCCAGACUCCUACGGGAGGCAGCAGUGGGGAAUAUUGCACAAUGGGCGGAAGCCUGAUGCAGCAACGCCGCGUGCGGGAUGACGGCCUUCGGGUUGUAAACCGCUUUCGCCUGUGACGAAGCGUGAGUGACGGUAAUGGGUAAAGAAGCACCGGCUAACUACGUG
RNAcentral lists this ribosomal RNA (467 nucleotides) under uncultured bacterium. RNAcentral describes it as "partial 16S ribosomal RNA". It matches the Rfam family "Bacterial small subunit ribosomal RNA", at positions 28 to 507 of the family's 1533-position model. The record is from RNAcentral.